ACCGGCGCACGGGUGAGUAACACGUAUGCAACCUGCCUGUAAGCGGGGGAUAACCCGGAGAAAUCCGGACUAAUACCGCAUAAGACUUUAGUUCUGCAUGGGACAGAAGUUAAACAUUUAUGGCUUACAGAUGGGCAUGCGUAUGAUUAGCUAGUUGGAGAGGUAAUGGCUCCCCAAGGCAACGAUCAUUAGGGGUUCUGAGAGGAAGGUCCCCCACACUGGUACUGAGACACGGACCAGACUCCUACGGGAGGCAGCAGUGAGGAAUAUUGGUCAAUGGGCGAGAGCCUGAACCAGCCAAGUCGCGUGAAGGAAGAAUGUCCUAUGGAUUGUAAACUUCUUUUUUAGGGGAAUAAAGUGCACCACGUGUGGUGUUUUGUAUGUACCCUACGAAUAAGGAUCGGCUAACUCCGUGCCAGCAGCCGCGGUAAUACGGAGGAUCCAAGCGUUAUCCGGAUUUAUUGGGUUUAAAGGGUGCGCAGGCGGGAUAAUAAGUCAGUGGUGAAAGUUUGCAGCUUAACUGUAAAAUUGCCGUUGAAACUGUUAUUCUUGAGUGCAGACAAGGUAGGCGGAAUGUAUUGUGUAGCGGUGAAAUGCUUAGAUAUAAUACAGAACCCCGAUUGCGAAGGCAGCUUACCGGACUGUAACUGACGCUCAGGCACGAAAGCGUGGGGAUCAAACAGGAUUAGAUACCCUGGUAGUCCACGCA
Molecule: ribosomal RNA, 709 nt
Filed under: uncultured bacterium
Lineage: Bacteria
Description: bacterial SSU rRNA
Rfam family: Bacterial small subunit ribosomal RNA
Source: RNAcentral